GGAUUCCGAACAAAUCUUGAGGGGCCCAUAGUGACUUAGAAUGAUCCAAAAUACCCAGCUGGUGCACCAGAUGGGGUAUCAUAGUUUAUUUGCAUUCACAAGACUUUGGACAAAUCUUGAGGGGCCCACAGUGACUUAGAAUAAUCCAAAAUCCCCAGUUAUGCACCAGCUAUCUAGUGCACCCACGAUCACAAAAUGGUGUCACAAUCAUGAUAGGG
RNAcentral lists this long non-coding RNA (218 nucleotides) under Capsicum annuum. RNAcentral describes it as "long non-coding RNA (CANN_LNC000801)". The record is from RNAcentral. Lineage: Eukaryota; Viridiplantae; Streptophyta; Magnoliopsida; Solanales; Solanaceae.